This 73-nucleotide transfer RNA is filed under the name Felis catus (domestic cat). It matches the Rfam family "tRNA". Rfam says of the family: Transfer RNA (tRNA) molecules are approximately 80 nucleotides in length. Lineage: Eukaryota; Metazoa; Chordata; Mammalia; Carnivora; Felidae. The record is from Rfam by way of RNAcentral.
ACCUGGUUGGCUCAGUCGGUGGAGCGAGAGACUCUUGAUCUCUGGGUUGUGAGUUCGAGCCCCACAUGGGGUA